RNAcentral lists this ribosomal RNA (1488 nucleotides) under aff. Alabidopus sp. AD591. RNAcentral's name for it is "partial 28S ribosomal RNA". It matches the Rfam family "Eukaryotic large subunit ribosomal RNA", at positions 73 to 1269 of the family's 3401-position model. Lineage: Eukaryota; Metazoa; Arthropoda; Arachnida; Sarcoptiformes; Chortoglyphidae. The record is from RNAcentral.
GAUUCCCCUAGUAACGGCGAGCGAACAGGGAACAGCCCAGCGCCAAGUCCUGACGCUUGACGCGUUCAGGAGAUGCGGCGUUAGUGUAGUGGUGCAUCGCACGCUGCUUCGUGCUUCAAGUUCCUUUGACAGGGACUCCCAGAGUGGGUGCUAGGCCCAUAGAGGCUGCGAAGCUGGCGUGCGCAAACCAUUGCAUUCUAGAGUCAGGUUGCUUGAGAGUGCAGCCUAAAGCAGGUGGUAAACUCCAUCUAAGGCUAAAUAUUACAGCGACACCGAUAGCAAACAAGUACCGUGAGGGAAAGUUGCAAAGAACUUUGAAGAGAGAGUUCAAAAGGACGUGAAACCACUGACAGGUAAACGGGUGGAACCACGAAGUGUGCCCGCAAGACGAUUCAAUCGUGAUCGGACGGUCGGUGGCGUACGUUGGCGAGUCGCUUUCGGGUGGCUACACGUGCGUCGCUUACGAUCGCCGAUUGCGAUGCAUUUCGUUUUCUUGCGGUGCUAAAGCCACGUCCGAUUAGGUGGCUGGAGCGGCCGUAGCGAAUGCGACUCCCCGAAAGGUGGCCGUCGGUGUGCCCUCGCGGCGCGUCGACGGUGUUAUAGUCGGUGGAUCACGUUGCCCGCUGCCUAGCGUGCUGAUCGGCGCAAGUUCUCCGCGCUCGCGGAGUGUUGCAAGUAACGGGCCGGUGCGCUUGCGGUGUCGUUGCGUGCGUUCUGGUUUGCGCUUUCGUGCCCUCGUUGGCAUCGCAAAGACGGGCCAGUGUCGUGCGUAUUCGGGCGCCGCUGUGCGUGAUCGGUUUGUGCAAACGGUGGUGCGAGUAGGUCGGUCUCCACCCGACCCGUCUUGAAACACGGACCAAGGAGCCUACCAUAUACGCGAGUCGCUCGGUCUUGUUUAGGCCCGGGAGGCGCAAUGAAAGUAACCGGCUACGAGGCUGUGCGCGAUAAUCUCGCAAGCGGUCGCAGUAGCGGCCCACCUGCUUUCUUUAUCGAGAAUACGGUGGCGUCGGAGCGUAUACGGUGGUACCCGAAAGAUGGUGAACUAUGCCUGGGCAAGACGAAGCCAGAGGAAACUCUGGUGGAGGUCUGUAGCGAUUCUGACGUGCAAAUCGAUCGUCAGACCUGGGUAUAGGGGCGAAAGACUAAUCGAACCAUCUAGUAGCUGGUUCCCUCCGAAGUUUCCCUCAGGAUAGCAGGCGCUCGUCGACGACAGUCUCAUCCGGUAAAGCUAAUGAUUAGAGGUCUUGGGGCCGAAACGGCCUCAACCUAUUCUCAAACUUUAAAUGGGUGAGAUGCUUGACUUGCUUAAAUUUUGAAGCCAAGCGAUUGGAUGUUGAGUGCCUAGUGGGCCAGCUUUGGUAAGCAGAACUGGCGCUGUGGGAUGAACCAAACGUCGAGUUAAGGCAUCAAAUGCGUACGCUCAUCAGACCCCAUGAAAGGUGUUGGUUGCUAUAGACAGCAGGACGGUGGCCAUGGAAGUCGGAAUCC